Long non-coding RNA from Brassica oleracea var. oleracea, 447 nucleotides. RefSeq lists it as uncharacterized. The transcript is spliced from 2 exons. Lineage: Eukaryota; Viridiplantae; Streptophyta; Magnoliopsida; Brassicales; Brassicaceae. The record is from RefSeq and is a predicted model, not a curated record.
AAUCUAUUUCGUGUCCCAACUUCGCCUUUACUCCUUUUCUCACAACAACUUUCAAAAGCUCUGAGAUCUCAGAUUCGACGCCGUUGGUUAUCUAUCUCCGUCGCAUAAUCUGAGAGUAAAUGGAUAAGGAGGCAGCUGAAACUGCGAGGGACUCGCUGGAGCUUGCGUUUCGAAUGUCCAACAUCUUGGAGACUGGUCUCGAUCGACAUACCUUGUCCGUUUUGAUUGCUCUUUGCGAUCUUGGUCUUAACCCUGAGGCUUUAGCUGCUGUCGUCAAGGAGCUCCGACAAGAGUCCGGCAACAACCACGGAAACAGCAGCUUAGCAUAGAUUAGUUCGAAUCCUUUUGUUUCACUAUGCUUUUCUGUAAGAUUUUGACAAAUCUGAAGUUUGAUGCUUUGAUGUUCUGUCAUUUGAUAUAAUUGAUUUAAGGCUUCACUUCCAAAAA